GCAAAACGCGAAGAACCUUACCACCUUUUGACAUGCCUGGACCGCCACGGAGAUGUGGCUUUCCCUUCGGGGACUAGGACACAGGUGCUGCAUGGCUGUCGCCAGCUCGUGUCGUGAGAUGUUGGGUUAAGUCCCGCAACGAGCGCAACCCUCGCCAUUAGUUGCCAUCAUUUAGUUGGGAACUCUAAUGGGACUGCCGGUGCUAAGCCGGAGGAAGGUGGGGAUGACGUCAAGUCCUCAUGGCCCUUACAGGGUGGGCUACACACGUGCUACAAUGGUAACUACAGAGGGUUAAUCCUUAAAAGUCGUCUCAGUUCGGAUUGUCCUCUGCAACUCGAGGGCAUGAAGUUGGAAUCGCUAGUAAUCGCGGAUCAGCAUGCCGCGGUGAAUACGUUCCCGGGUCUUGUACACACCG
RNAcentral lists this ribosomal RNA (415 nucleotides) under uncultured bacterium. RNAcentral describes it as "bacterial SSU rRNA". It matches the Rfam family "Bacterial small subunit ribosomal RNA", at positions 954 to 1392 of the family's 1533-position model. The record is from RNAcentral.